UACGUAGGGGGCGAGCGUUGUCCGAAUUUACUGGGCGUAAAGCGCGUGUAGGCGGCUCUUUAAGUGAGGUGUGAAAUCCUGCGGCUCAACCGCAGAACUGCAUUUCAAACUGGAGGGCUUGAGUUUGGGAGAGGAAAGUGGAAUUCCUGGUGUAGCGGUGAAAUGCGUAGAUAUCAGGAGGAACACCCGUGGCGAAGGCGGCUUUCUGGCCCAACACUGACGCUGAGACGCGAAAGCCAGGGGAGCGAACGGGAUUAGAUACCCCGGUAGUCCUGGCCGUAAACGAUGGAUACUAGGUGUUAGUGGUAUCGACCCCACUAGUGCCGUAGCUAACGCAUUAAGUAUCCCGCCUGGGGAGUACGGCCGCAAGGUUG
RNAcentral lists this ribosomal RNA (374 nucleotides) under uncultured prokaryote. RNAcentral describes it as "bacterial SSU rRNA". It matches the Rfam family "Bacterial small subunit ribosomal RNA", at positions 524 to 896 of the family's 1533-position model. The record is from RNAcentral.